GGGGAAUCUUAGACAAUGGGGGAAACCCUGAUCUAGCCAUGCCGUGUGAUCGAUGAAGGCCUUAGGGUUGUAAAGAUCUUUCAGUGGGGAAGAUAAUGACUGUACCCACAGAAGAAGCCCCGGCUAACUCCGUGCCAGCAGCCGCGGUAAUACGGAGGGGGCUAGCGUUGUUCGGAAUUACUGGGCGUAAAGCGCACGUAGGCGGAUCAGAAAGUCAGAGGUGAAAUCCCAGGGCUCAACCUUGGAACUGCCUUUGAAACUCCCGAUCUUGAGGUCGAGAGAGGUGAGUGGAAUUCCGAGUGUAGAGGUGAAAUUCGUAGAUAUUCGGAGGAACACCAGUGGCGAAGGCGGCUCACUGGCUCGAUACUGACGCUGAGGGGCGAAAGCGUGGGGAGCAAAC
Molecule: ribosomal RNA, 400 nt
Filed under: uncultured bacterium
Lineage: Bacteria
Description: bacterial SSU rRNA
Rfam family: Bacterial small subunit ribosomal RNA
Source: RNAcentral